Molecule: long non-coding RNA, 517 nt
Organism: Scylla paramamosain (green mud crab)
Lineage: Eukaryota; Metazoa; Arthropoda; Malacostraca; Decapoda; Portunidae
Exons: 4
Source: RefSeq, a predicted model, not a curated record
GUAAGACUGUUCACCUGUCGCCAUUUAGGUCAAGGUGGCGAGAGGCGAGCUUGGGGAAGGAGGGAGAGACUAAUUAACCUGGUGAGGCGUGGUGGCGGACAUGCAGAUUAAGACGGCAGACUGAAGGGGAGAGGAGGGCAAGAGGGGACGAGUUAAGCUGAGGACCACCUAAGGGACGCAUAAACUCAGGUCACCUUUUCCAGGUCACCACAGCCUCAGGACCGUGCAGACGUCGCCGCGUUUCCAGCUAGCUGGUGGCGAGCUGGUGGCGAGCUGCAGCCAACCAGGUCACCACAGUCUCAGGACUGUGCAUAUGUCGCCGCGUUUCCAGCUUGUGGUGAGCUGCAGCCAGCUGCAGCCAACCUAGGUCUGUCUGUCUACCUAGGCCUGUCUGUCUUACUUGAAAGACUUAGUGGUGCAAAUAUAAACCCUAGUGGGGCAAAUAAAUAUAAUAAGGUAAGAGUUGAGAUUAUGGAAAUUUGAAAUUAUGGAAAUAACCGUAACCUACCAAUUUCUA